This 28-nucleotide non-coding RNA is filed under the name Bombyx mori (domestic silkworm). The record is from RNAcentral. Lineage: Eukaryota; Metazoa; Arthropoda; Insecta; Lepidoptera; Bombycidae.
UCUGAAGAAAAUGCCACAGACACGACGC